UUAGUACAUACUGUCAAUGUGUCUCAUUUAAAAAUGUGUUAAUGAAAAAAAUGGAUGUCACGUUAAAAAUGUGUUUGUUUCAUUUAGUUUCUUCAUCUCCAUUGGAAGACAAUCUAAGAGGAAGAGGAAAUGUUACGUUACAGUGUUCACUGAAUAGAUAUGAUAGAACAAUUCCCUGUGGAGAGAACAGCAUCAUCUGGAUGGAUGAGAGAGGAUCCAAACUGUCUGGUCAAAACUCUGAGUUUGAGGUUAAUGAACAGAUUAACUGUGUUUCUGUUCUGACUGUGAAACAUCUGAGAGGAAACAACACAAAAUUCACCUGCCAGUUUGUGAAGAACAACAAAGUGAAGAUGGAUGCUGUGUACGUUCUUACAGGCAUCAGUGGAAAAACUGAAAAACUCUAUCACAGAGUUGGAGAGAACGUCCUUUUACCUUGUAGAGAUAAAUCCUCCUCUUCCUCAUGCUCUGAUGUUACCUGGCUGUACCAGAAAGAUACAAGUGCAGAACUUGUAAAGGAAGUACGCAAUGGAAAAGUUGUCCAGAGUUUAUUUCGAGCUUCCAGGCUGAAUGUGAGCAGUGACUGCUCUCUGCUCAUCAGAAACAUCAUUCAUGAAGAUGCUGGUUAUUUCGUCUGUCGGUUCGGCGAGGAUAAUGAGUUUGACAACAAUGUGUAUCUUAAUAUUUUGAGCAUUUCUACAGAUCCACCAGAAGUUCAUCCAAGAGGAAAUGAAGACAUCACAUUACGGUGUUCACUGAAUAGAUUUGAUAAAACAAAAUCCUGUGAACAGAACAGCAUCAUCUGGAUGGAUGAGAGAGGAUCUCAGCUGACUGGUGAAGGUGUUGGGUUUGAGUUUAGAGGACAAACAAACUGUGUUUCUGUUCUGACUGUGAAACAUCAGAGUGGAAACAAUAAAAGAUUCACCUGCAAGUUUAUUGAGGACAACAAAGUGAAGAUUGAGGCUGUCUACAUUCCAUACUUUUCAGGUAAAGGUGAUUCUUAGUUUUUGUACUGACAAAAAAAACUCAUAUUUGAUAUGAUGUCAUAUUUUCACUUCAGGUUAUUUUACAGCACAAAUAUGCUGUGGAAUACAAAGGCUGGUUUUGACUUGCCUUCCAUCACAAACGCAGUUUUAUCCAACCUGAUUCUGACAAAAAACCGUCUUUAGAAAGUCGUUGAUAGACAUCAUCUGGAAUGAAUCUACUGUUGAUUUGUUAGGAACAAUCUGAGUGUAGUUUUCAUGACGUUUUGUACAAUUCUCAAGGGAAAGUAUCUGCGUUCCUCUUAAGAUGCUGCCGCUCUUCUGUACGACCAUCCACGGACCCAGACAACCUUAAAACCUGCAGCAUUCGUCAACACCCUGUUAGGGGAAGUGACUAAGACUUUAGCCAGUCUAUUCAAUCUCCAUGCCCAACACAAACUCUCUUUAUCUUUAGAGACCUUUUUCUUUUGGUGUAAGAAGUCACUCUUCUCCAUGCACAAAAACAUAUCUGUACUUGCUUUUCCUCUACAUAUGACAAUAGUGCUUCCUCUAAUGUUUUUGUUUGUCAGGUCCGUUCAGAGAUAAUUGUUUUGUUUAUGUUUUAAAACAGAUUAUAUGUAAUUCACAUUCAUUCAGCUUUAUUUUUUAGUCCUUGAGGUUACUGUCUUUCUAUCCGUGACUUCUUCUUUUAACAUUAGCUACAACCAGCUCAUAUUUAUUGCACUCAAUGUAUACUAUUAAUAAAAGCUUAAAUAUCCUUAUUUGUUGUAGAAUCUCCCCAGAGCGACACUGUCAUCAUCAUUGGAGCUGUGGUCGGUGUGGUGUUGGUGCUGCUGGUCGUUUUUGCGGUUCUACUCUUCAAAAGCAAGAGAACCAAAACCACCGAAGAUCAAAAAAGAGGAACAAGUUCAGUUUUAUCUCUUUUGCUGGCAAUUAAUGUGUUGAGGUUCUGACGUAAAAAGCAGAAAACUAAAAAUAGUUGACUUAUGAAGAAAUCUUGGCAGCAUUUAACCACAGGAUAUGAAGUUCCUCUUUCUUGUGAAACCAGUCAUGGCCCUCCUGGUUUCUUGGUUUGUCAUCAACUCCUCUCAGUGUGAUUUUUCUUUAUAUUUUGCGCAUUAAAUUAAGUAAAUUGUGUUAAUUUCAUAAAGUUACAAUUCAAAACCACUUUUCUUUGCACUGAUAACAUAGUUUCACAUAAUAGAAAAUCCUUUCUAAAGUCAGAUGGUUCUAAAAAUCUACUUUUUUCCAUUUCAGACUUUCAAAAAUCAAUACAUCAACAUGUGAGUAUCAUUAGAACAAAGGUUUUUUUAGUAUAGAAAAUUAAUGUAUUUCUAUAAUAAUGUUAUGGCUCUCAAAGUGCACUUUAAAUAUUGUCAAGUUACUUUUAUUCCAGACUGUUAAAAUGCGUCAUUGGAUGAGUCAACUUUAUUUUUAAAAUGACAUUUGCAGCAUCUCUCUCUCAUGACAGCAGAGUCACAUGUAAUUUAUUUGAAAUUAUUAGGAAAAUCAAGACAUCUGCAUGCAUUUUACUAAUCACACAUUCUUCAAGCUACAGUUGAAUUGAUAUAAUGUUUAAAGACAUGUUUCCCCUCUGUGUUUGUGUUCAGAGUGAGCCAGAGACUGAGCUGGACGGUGAUCUGACGUAUGCUGUGGUUAACCAUUCCAAAUCAAAGGCUUCUUCCAAGAUCACAGUAUGUCACUUCAUCUGGUGUGAUCCUGAUAUUAAUAGAAAUGCUGGAUGGGUUCACAUGAACCUAAACACAGAGAAGCAUGAAUAUUUAAAAAGCA
Molecule: long non-coding RNA, 2771 nt
Filed under: Oryzias javanicus (javanese ricefish)
Lineage: Eukaryota; Metazoa; Chordata; Actinopteri; Beloniformes; Adrianichthyidae
Description: lncRNA (ENSOJAG00000007369.1)
Source: RNAcentral